Molecule: ribosomal RNA, 1372 nt
Filed under: uncultured bacterium
Lineage: Bacteria
Description: bacterial SSU rRNA
Rfam family: Bacterial small subunit ribosomal RNA
Source: RNAcentral
GAUGAACGCUGGCGGCGUGCCUAAUACAUGCAAGUCGAGCGAACAGAUAAGGAGCUUGCUCCUUUGAAGUUAGCGGCGGACGGGUGAGUAACACGUGGGUAACCUACCUAUAAGACUGGGAUAACUUCGGGAAACCGGAGCUAAUACCGGAUAACAUUUAGAACCGCAUGGCUCUAAAGUGAAAGAUGGUUUUGCUAUCACUUAUAGAUGGACCCGCGCCGUAUUAGCUAGUUGGUAAGGUAACGGCUUACCAAGGCGACGAUACGUAGCCGACCUGAGAGGGUGAUCGGCCACACUGGAACUGAGACACGGUCCAGACUCCUACGGGAGGCAGCAGUAGGGAAUCUUCCGCAAUGGGCGAAAGCCUGACGGAGCAACGCCGCGUGAGUGAUGAAGGGUUUCGGCUCGUAAAACUCUGUUAUUAGGGAAGAACAAAUGUGUAAGUAACUGUGCACAUCUUGACGGUACCUAAUCAGAAAGCCACGGCUAACUACGUGCCAGCAGCCGCGGUAAUACGUAGGUGGCAAGCGUUAUCCGGAAUUAUUGGGCGUAAAGCGCGCGUAGGCGGUUUCUUAAGUCUGAUGUGAAAGCCCACGGCUCAACCGUGGAGGGUCAUUGGAAACUGGGAAACUUGAGUGCAGAAGAGGAAAGUGGAAUUCCAUGUGUAGCGGUGAAAUGCGCAGAGAUAUGGAGGAACACCAGUGGCGAAGGCGACUUUCUGGUCUGUAACUGACGCUGAUGUGCGAAAGCGUGGGGAUCAAACAGGAUUAGAUACCCUGGUAGUCCACGCCGUAAACGAUGAGUGCUAAGUGUUAGGGGGUUUCCGCCCCUUAGUGCUGCAGCUAACGCAUUAAGCACUCCGCCUGGGGAGUACGACCGCAAGGUUGAAACUCAAAGGAAUUGACGGGGACCCGCACAAGCGGUGGAGCAUGUGGUUUAAUUCGAAGCAACGCGAAGAACCUUACCAAAUCUUGACAUCCUUUGAAAACUCUAGAGAUAGAGCCUUCCCCUUCGGGGGACAAAGUGACAGGUGGUGCAUGGUUGUCGUCAGCUCGUGUCGUGAGAUGUUGGGUUAGGUCCCGCAACGAGCGCAACCCUUAAGCUUAGUUGCCAUCAUUAAGUUGGGCACUCUAGGUUGACUGCCGGUGACAAACCGGAGGAAGGUGGGGAUGACGUCAAAUCAUCAUGCCCCUUAUGAUUUGGGCUACACACGUGCUACAAUGGACAAUACAAAGGGCAGCUAAACCGCGAGGUCAUGCAAAUCCCAUAAAGUUGUCCUCAGUUCGGAUUGUAGUCUGCAACUCGACUACAUGAAGCUGGAAUCGCUAGUAAUCGUAGAUCAGCAUGCUACGGUGAAUACGUUCCCGGGUCU